CCUAAGGAGGCCAGUUGAGCAUCAGUGGUUGUUGAAAGGAAGCUGUACGGAAUGUCAAGGGAGUCGACCUGAAAACUAACGGGUCCAGAGAACUAGUUAAGAAGGUUGUUGAAGAGGGUUUUGGGAGCAAGGGGAUUACUAGAUGUCGACUCUUGAAGUCUUUUUUGGUUCUUUGUCAAA
Long non-coding RNA from Rhodamnia argentea, 180 nucleotides. RefSeq lists it as uncharacterized. The record is from RefSeq and is a predicted model, not a curated record. Lineage: Eukaryota; Viridiplantae; Streptophyta; Magnoliopsida; Myrtales; Myrtaceae. The transcript is spliced from 2 exons.